This 698-nucleotide ribosomal RNA is filed under the name uncultured Anabaena sp. RNAcentral's name for it is "bacterial SSU rRNA". It matches the Rfam family "Bacterial small subunit ribosomal RNA", at positions 94 to 824 of the family's 1533-position model. Lineage: Bacteria; Bacillati; Cyanobacteriota; Cyanophyceae; Nostocales; Nostocaceae. The record is from RNAcentral.
AGCGGCGGACGGGUGAGUAAUACGUAGGAAUCUGCCUUCAGGAGGGGGAUAACGAGCCGAAAGGUUCGCUAAUACCCCAUAUGCGGUAACGUGAAAGGAGUAAUCCACCUGGAGAUGAGCCUGCGUCCGGUUAGCUAGUUGGUAGUGUAAUGGACUACCAAGGCAACGAUCGGUAGUUGGUCUGAGAGGAUGAUCAGCCACAAUGGGACUGAGACACGGCCCAUACUCCUACGGGAGGCAGCAGUGGGGAAUUUUACGCAAUGGGCGAAAGCCUGACGUAGCGACACCGCGUGAGCGAAGAAGCCCCUUGGGGUGUAAAGCUCUGUCAGCAGGAACGAAAAAAUGACGGUACCUGCAGAGGAAGCAUCGGCUAACUACGUGCCAGCAGCCGCGGUAAGACGUAGGAUGCAAGCGUUGUCCGGAUUUAUUGGGCGUAAAGAGUUCGUAGGCGGUUAGUUAAGUCUGGUGUUAAAGACUGGGGCCCAACCCUGGGAGUGCAUUGGAUACUGGCUGACUUGAGUGCGGUAGAGGUGAGUGGAAUUCCCAGUGUAGCGGUGAAAUGCGUAGAUAUUGGGAAGAACACCGGUGGCGUAGGCGACUCGCUGGACCGUAACUGACGCUGAGGAACGAAAGCUAGGGUAGCGAAUGGGAUUAGAUACCCCAGUAGUCCUAGCUGUAAACGAUGGAUACUAGGCGUU